AUGGAAAAAGAUCAGCAACAAUUAGCAACACUCAUGGCGGAGCUAGAGGAGCCAGUUGGUCUUUGUGACUUGCCAACAAUUGACCCUCCUAAUACUAGGAGAAAGAAGGGGAGGGCAAUAAAGGAUUUUUCAGAGUGGAUAGAGAAAGAGCCUCCCGUGAAUUGGUCUUUGCUGCAUGACACCCAUGGAGCUAGGUAUGGCCACAUGACAACCAACCUUGCAGAGGUGUAUAACUUUGUACUCAGAGGGAAUAGAGCAUUGCCACUCAUAGCUAUUGUCGAGGCUGUAUUCCAUGGCACUUUGAGAUAUUUCAAAGACCGGCACGAGUUAGCAAAUAAGCAUAUUAUAGAUAAUCAGAACACACCUUACUGUAUCCGUGUCAUGGAGUACAUGGCAAAGAAGAUAGAGAGAGCAAAGAAGCACGCUGUGAGACUCGUCGGUAAUUAG
Molecule: ribosomal RNA, 447 nt
Filed under: Triticum aestivum (bread wheat)
Lineage: Eukaryota; Viridiplantae; Streptophyta; Magnoliopsida; Poales; Poaceae
Description: partial small subunit ribosomal RNA
Source: RNAcentral